This 892-nucleotide ribosomal RNA is filed under the name uncultured bacterium. RNAcentral describes it as "bacterial SSU rRNA". It matches the Rfam family "Bacterial small subunit ribosomal RNA", at positions 8 to 913 of the family's 1533-position model. The record is from RNAcentral.
AGAGUUUGAUCCUGGCUCAGGACGAACGCUGGCGGCGCGCCUAACACAUGCAAGUCGAACGGAGCUUAGAGAGCUUGCUUUUUAAGCUUAGUGGCGAACGGGUGAGUAACGCGUGAGUAACCUGCCCUAGAGUGGGGGACAACAGUUGGAAACGACUGCUAAUACCGCAUAAGCCCACGGUGCCGCAUGACACUGAGGGAAAAGGAUUUAUUCGCUUUAGGAUGGACUCGCGUCCAAUUAGCUAGUUGGUGAGGUAACGGCCCACCAAGGCGACGAUUGGUAGCCGGACUGAGAGGUUGAACGGCCACAUUGGGACUGAGACACGGCCCAGACUCCUACGGGAGGCAGCAGUGGGGGAUAUUGCACAAUGGGGGAAACCCUGAUGCAGCGACGCCGCGUGGAGGAAGAAGGUUUUCGGAUUGUAAACUCCUGUCGUUAGGGACGAUAAUGACGGUACCUAACAAGAAAGCACCGGCUAACUACGUGCCAGCAGCCGCGGUAAAACGUAGGGUGCAAGCGUUGUCCGGAAUUACUGGGUGUAAAGGGAGCGCAGGCGGGAAGACAAGUUGGAAGUGAAAACCAUGGGCUCAACCCAUGAAUUGCUUUCAAAACUGUUUUUCUUGAGUAGUGCAGAGGUAGAUGGAAUUCCCGGUGUAGCGGUGGAAUGCGUAGAUAUCGGGAGGAACACCAGUGGCGAAGGCGGUCUACUGGGCACCAACUGACGCUGAGGCUCGAAAGCAUGGGUAGCAAACAGGAUUAGAUACCCUGGUAGUCCAUGCCGUAAACGAUGAUUACUAGGUGUUGGGGGAUUGACCCCCUCAGUGCCGCAGUUAACACAAUAAGUAAUCCACCUGGGGAGUACGACCGCAAGGUUGAAACUCAAAGGAAUUGA